This 90-nucleotide transfer RNA is filed under the name Hyphomonas sp. RNAcentral describes it as "tRNA-Ser". It matches the Rfam family "tRNA". Rfam says of the family: Transfer RNA (tRNA) molecules are approximately 80 nucleotides in length. Their secondary structure includes four short double-helical elements and three loops (D, anti-codon, and T loops). Further hydrogen bonds mediate the characteristic L-shaped molecular structure. tRNAs have two regions of fundamental functional importance: the anti-codon, which is responsible for specific mRNA codon recognition, and the 3' end, to which the tRNAs corresponding amino acid is attached (by aminoacyl-tRNA synthetases). tRNAs cope with the degeneracy of the genetic code in two manners: having more than one tRNA (with a specific anti-codon) for a particular amino acid; and 'wobble' base-pairing, i.e. permitting non-standard base-pairing at the 3rd anti-codon position. RNAcentral also lists the same sequence under 5 other names. Lineage: Bacteria; Pseudomonadati; Pseudomonadota; Alphaproteobacteria; Hyphomonadales; Hyphomonadaceae. The record is from RNAcentral.
GGAGGAGUGGCAGAGUGGUUGAAUGCGGCGGUCUUGAAAACCGUUGAGCGUGCGAGCGUUCCGGGGGUUCGAAUCCCUCCUCCUCCGCCA